Molecule: ribosomal RNA, 497 nt
Filed under: uncultured bacterium
Lineage: Bacteria
Description: partial 16S ribosomal RNA
Rfam family: Bacterial small subunit ribosomal RNA
Source: RNAcentral
GAUGAACGCUGGCGGCGUGCCUAAUACAUGCAAGUCGAGCGAACGGACGAGAAGCUUGCUUCUCUGAUGUUAGCGGCGGACGGGUGAGUAACACGUGGAUAACCUACCUAUAAGACUAGGAUAACUUCGGGAAACCGUAGCUAAUACCGGAUAAUAUUUUGAACCGCAUGGUUCAAAAGUGAAAGACGGUCUUGCUGUCACUUAUAGAUGGAUCCGCGCUGCAUUAGCUAGUUGGUAAGGUAACGGCUUACCAAGGCAACGAUGCAUAGCCGACCUGAGAGGGUGAUCGGCCACACUGGAACUGAGACACGGUCCAGACUCCUACGGGAGGCAGCAGUAGGGAAUCUUCCGCAAUGGGCGAAAGCCUGACGGAGCAACGCCGCGUGAGUGAUGAAGGUCUUCGGAUCGUAAAACUCUGUUAUUAGGGAAGAACAUAUGUGUAAGUAACUGUGCACAUCUUGACGGUACCUAAUCAGAAAGCCACGGCUAACUACGUA